UGUAGAGAAUCUGCCCUGUACUGGGGGACAACAGAGGGAAACUUCUGCUAAUACCCCAUAUGAGCGUACCUGCGAUGGUAUUCUUGAAAGUUCCGGCGGUACAGGAUGAGUCUGCAUCUGAUUAGCUAGUUGGUGGUGUAAUGGACUACCAAGGCGACGAUCAGUAGCUGGUUUGAGAGGAUGAUCAGCCACAAUGGGACUGAGACACGGCCCAUACUCCUACGGGAGGCAGCAG
Molecule: ribosomal RNA, 235 nt
Filed under: uncultured bacterium
Lineage: Bacteria
Description: partial 16S ribosomal RNA
Rfam family: Bacterial small subunit ribosomal RNA
Source: RNAcentral